CCCUUCGGGGUACUCGAGCGGCGAACGGGUGAGUAACACGUGAGCAACCUGCCCUAGGCUUUGGGAUAACCCUCGGAAACGGGGGCUAAUACCGAAUAUUCACUCACGGGCGCAUGUUUGUGGGUGGAAAGUUUUUCGGCUUGGGAUGGGCUCGCGGCCUAUCAGCUUGUUGGUGGGGUAAUGGCCUACCAAGGCGACGACGGGUAGCCGGCCUGAGAGGGCGACCGGCCACACUGGGACUGAGACACGGCCCAGACUCCUACGGGAGGCAGCAGUGGGGAAUAUUGCACAAUGGGCGGAAGCCUGAUGCAGCGACGCCGCGUGAGGGAUGACGGCCUUCGGGUUGUAAACCUCUUUCAGCAGGGACGAAGCGCAAGUGACGGUACCUGCAGAAGAAGCGCCGGCCAACUACGUGCCAGCAGCCGCGGUAAGACGUAGGGCGCGAGCGUUGUCCGGAUUUAUUGGGCGUAAAGAGCUCGUAGGCGGCUUGUCGCGUCGACUGUGAAAACCCGUGGCUCAACUGCGGGCCUGCAGUCGAUACGGGCAGGCUAGAGUUCGGUAGGGGAGACUGGAAUUCCUGGUGUAGCGGUGAAAUGCGCAG
RNAcentral lists this ribosomal RNA (601 nucleotides) under Micromonospora sp. I08A-00466. RNAcentral describes it as "bacterial SSU rRNA". It matches the Rfam family "Bacterial small subunit ribosomal RNA", at positions 76 to 693 of the family's 1533-position model. The record is from RNAcentral. Lineage: Bacteria; Bacillati; Actinomycetota; Actinomycetes; Micromonosporales; Micromonosporaceae.